RNAcentral lists this ribosomal RNA (441 nucleotides) under uncultured bacterium. Its description in RNAcentral is "bacterial SSU rRNA". It matches the Rfam family "Bacterial small subunit ribosomal RNA", at positions 43 to 525 of the family's 1533-position model. The record is from RNAcentral.
CAGGCCUAACACAUGCAAGUCGAACGGGCACCUUCGGGUGUCAGUGGCAGACGGGUGAGUAACACGUGGGAACGUGCCCUUCGGUUCGGAAUAACUCAGGGAAACUUGAGCUAAUACCGGAUACGCCCUUACGGGGAAAGGUUUACUGCCGAAGGAUCGGCCCGCGUCUGAUUAGCUAGUUGGUGGGGUAAUGGCCUACCAAGGCGACGAUCAGUAGCUGGUCUGAGAGGAUGAUCAGCCACACUGGGACUGAGACACGGCCCAGACUCCUACGGGAGGCAGCAGUGGGGAAUAUUGGACAAUGGGCGAAAGCCUGAUCCAGCAAUGCCGCGUGAGUGAUGAAGGCCUUAGGGUUGUAAAGCGAUUUUACCCGGGAUGAUAAUGACAGGAGCCGGGAGAAGAAGCUCCUGAGAACUCCGUGCCCGCUGUCCGCGGGCGACA